Molecule: transfer RNA, 75 nt
Filed under: Caudoviricetes sp.
Lineage: Duplodnaviria; Heunggongvirae; Uroviricota; Caudoviricetes
Description: tRNA-Ile
Rfam family: tRNA
About the family: Transfer RNA (tRNA) molecules are approximately 80 nucleotides in length.
Source: RNAcentral
GCGGCUGUGGCGCAACGGUAGCGCAACGGACUUAUAAUCCGUGUGUCGUGGGUUCGACUCCUACCAGCCGUACCA